Etheostoma spectabile (orangethroat darter) is the source of this 1336-nucleotide long non-coding RNA. RefSeq lists it as uncharacterized. The record is from RefSeq and is a predicted model, not a curated record. Lineage: Eukaryota; Metazoa; Chordata; Actinopteri; Perciformes; Percidae. The transcript is spliced from 2 exons.
AAUGCAUUUGGUAGUUGAAAUGUACAUUUCUUUCACCCCUUCUAUAUUGACUUCAGUUUUAAAAGGUCUGGAAUUUUACAUAAUCAUUACAAUCCAUUAAAUGUCUUUAAAUAAGGCAACGCUCAUUACAAGGUACCACAAUGCAAUUCAUUAUGAAUUAACGUUUGUGUGGCACCGCCCAAUGAAAAAUUUAAGUUUAAAAAAAAAUCUAGUUUUCCAUCGUGAAAACCAGCUCGCAGUCCCCGUUUCACUUUGAACACAUUAUUAUAUAUAUAGUUUAGGCAUGCGUACAAACCACUGUUGUGUCUUUUAAACUGUCAAAUAAAAUAUCUUGUCUAGGAAGGAAAGGAAAGAGAACUUUUGAAAACUCAAAUCCCAUGAGGUAUAUACUAGAAGACUGUGUGCAGACAAUAUAUUUCUUAAAAUCCCCAAUAUGCCAUUUUAGUGACAAUGGCAGAAGUAAGGCAAUAUUUUAACAGAAGUCUUUUGAAGAAAUAAAACUUCUCAGUGAUGCAUGUGAGGAACUUAAAUUCAGUGCUCUUCAUCCAAAACAAACUGGUUUUAAAAGUGCAUGUGGUUAUUUUGACAAUGUUGACAUCUGAUCGGACGUGUGUUCUGAUGCAUCACAGGCAUGUUACAGCGUACUUUAUGAAAAUGUAUUUUAAAUCAGAUCAGAAAAGACAAAAAAAUACAAUUUUGAAAGUCUGAUGUUUUAGCAUCUGCCACCCCAUAUUCCAUUUGUAUUCUUUGGUGUAAAGUAAUGCAUGGUUGAAAUUAAGGCGAUCUUGUUUUAAAUAGUAUAAUAGCAGUAUUAAAUAAAAUGUUCAUUACCUACAGUCUGCCCAAUUCUCAAAUCCAAUGUGUGUCAAAGGAAAAUGAAAUGAGGAAACUUAAUCCGAAAAAUGACAUUCCUGAUUUAAAUUAGAAUGAAGUCUCUUCAUCAGAUUCGCUAAUUUUAAAUAACACAUCAUGCUCUCAUAUAAAUAUAAUAGAUUUACAGUGUAACAUACUUAUAAUGCAUCAUCAUGGGGCACGCAAGUUACAAUCCAAUUUCUUGUGUUAUGCAGUUCUUAUGGUGUGAAAGAGAAAUGCUCAACAUGGCAUACAUCAAGCAGUUUAAAAGCUCCUUAAUUGUUAAAGCAUUGUUUUAAAAUGAAUACUUUCUAUAUGUGCUUAGUAUGUGAGGGUGAGAUGAGUGCUCCCAGUGAGAUCAAUUGGUAUAUCCUGGCUAGCCAUGUAAGCAUUGAAUGGAAAGCUGGUACCCUGCAGCAUUAUCUGAUGCCUUGUUUCUAUUUCAGUUGUGUAAGCCUCGUUCAGUGCAGCCUAAAAAAAAAAA